This 607-nucleotide unclassified non-coding RNA is filed under the name Stenomitos sp. WJT24-NPBG20. RNAcentral's name for it is "16S-23S ribosomal RNA intergenic spacer". The record is from RNAcentral. Lineage: Bacteria; Bacillati; Cyanobacteriota; Cyanophyceae; Leptolyngbyales; Leptolyngbyaceae.
UUUAGGGAGACCUACCCGCUCUUAAGCUGAACGCAUACUGUUAAUAAGCAAGAGUUGGUCAUCCCAAGGUCGAACGAGGUUAAGUGUUGGCUUUCAAACUAUUCUGGGUUCAGUGCCACCCGCAGUGGUUAAAUCCCUCCUUGGGAGUGCGGUUUGGCCCAUUGCAGUGCGGUUUUAGCAUCGCUAGAGUAGUGGUUAUGGCAGCUGCUUGCGAACUGGAAGUUGAGACCCAGACCGCCACGCCACGAAGGAACCAACAAGUCAUGAACAACCGAAAGAACUUAGUGGUGAUACCCCACAAACAGAACUAGACACGCUAUAGUCAUAAAUGUGGCAAACGCGUUAGCCGGUCAGCGAGUGCACCGAUACUAACCAAACAAAUAGCCUUUAAUUAUUUUGGAUCAGCUUUCAGCAACUUGUUUAGUCAUGCAACGGCAGACUAGAGAGCCUGCUGGAUUUAGUUCCAGCCAGAACCUUGAAAACUGCAUAGUAACUUGUCAGGUAGAAAAGAUGAGUAGGUGUUUGUAGCUUUGUGAGCAGUGUUAGCACUGUUGACUGGUUACGGCAGGUUAUUUAUCGAAUCACAGACACCAAUGAGAUUGAUAGU